AUUGAACGCUGGCGGCAUGCCUUACACAUGCAAGUCGAACGGCAGCACGGAGUUUGCUCUGGUGGCGAGUGGCGAACGGGUGAGUAAUAUAUCGGAACGUACCCAAGAGUGGGGGAUAACGUAGCGAAAGUUACGCUAAUACCGCAUACGAUCUAAGGAUGAAAGCAGGGGACCGCAAGGCCUUGUGCUCCUGGAGCGGCCGAUAUCUGAUUAGCUAGUUGGUGAGGUAAAGGCUCACCAAGGCAUCGAUCAGUAGCUGGUCUGAGAGGACGACCAGCCACACUGGAACUGAGACACGGUCCAGACUCCUACGGGAGGCAGCAGUGGGGAAUUUUGGACAAUGGGGGCAACCCUGAUCCAGCAAUGCCGCGUGAGUGAAGAAGGCCUUCGGGUUGUAAAGCUCUUUUGUCAGGGAAGAAACGGUGAAGGCUAAUAUCCUUUGCUAAUGACGGUACCUGAAGAAUAAGCACCGGCUAACUACGUGCCAGCCGCCGCAGUAA
RNAcentral lists this ribosomal RNA (500 nucleotides) under uncultured bacterium. RNAcentral's name for it is "partial 16S ribosomal RNA". It matches the Rfam family "Bacterial small subunit ribosomal RNA", at positions 30 to 523 of the family's 1533-position model. The record is from RNAcentral.